This 164-nucleotide ribosomal RNA is filed under the name uncultured bacterium. RNAcentral describes it as "partial 16S ribosomal RNA". It matches the Rfam family "Bacterial small subunit ribosomal RNA", at positions 355 to 511 of the family's 1533-position model. The record is from RNAcentral.
UGGGGAAUAUUGGACAAUGGGCGAAAGCCUGAUCCAGCCAAGCCGCGUGUGUGAAGAAGGUCUUCGGAUUGUAAAGCACUUUAAGUUGGGAGGAAGGGCAGUAAGUUAAUACCUUGCUGUUUUGACGUUACCUACAGAAUAAGCACCGGCUAACUCUGUGCUAG